GAACCAUGAACGAAGAAAUGAACGAGAGAGAAGCCUUUUGACUAGUGAUUGUAAGGCCCCAAUUCUUGAUUAGAGGGGACACCAAAGGCCUUCUGCCCUUCAAUCCAUUGGAUGGAUAGAGAGGGGGGGCAGAGCUUUUGGUUUUUUCAUUUUGUCAAAAAGUUGAACAAUAAUUUUUCGUGUUGUCAAGGACUUGAAAAAUGAGAAUAGAUGGCGAGUGCCUGAUUGAAUUGAUCAGAUCAUGUAUGAACAAGGUUCAAGUCUACCAGUCUAUUAGGAUGCCUCAACUACAUACAUCACUACACUUCCACUUGACACCGAUCGUAAUGAUAAAAGGCUCGUCUCGUCGUGACCUUCUCUUAAAUUCUCAAAACUUUUAUCGCUUGAUCCUCCUAUGGGUAGAAAACCUAUUACUAUCUCUGUUGUGUUACUGAAAGCUCUGGGGAAGUCAAAAUAUGAGAGCACUCAUCUUAGGGUGGGCUUACUACUUAGAUACAUCACUACACUUCCACUUGACUACCCAACGUUUAUCAUGGGCACGAUAACUAGUACACUAGAGAUGUGUCCUUCACGAUCCUCUAGUACUAGGGAAAGUGUUGGGAAUCUACUUAACGUGAGCAACGG
RNAcentral lists this long non-coding RNA (624 nucleotides) under Olea europaea subsp. europaea. The record is from RNAcentral. Lineage: Eukaryota; Viridiplantae; Streptophyta; Magnoliopsida; Lamiales; Oleaceae.